Molecule: transfer RNA, 81 nt
Filed under: Aspergillus terreus
Lineage: Eukaryota; Fungi; Ascomycota; Eurotiomycetes; Eurotiales; Aspergillaceae
Also listed under: 1 other name
Description: tRNA-Leu
Rfam family: tRNA
About the family: Transfer RNA (tRNA) molecules are approximately 80 nucleotides in length. Their secondary structure includes four short double-helical elements and three loops (D, anti-codon, and T loops).
Source: RNAcentral
GGCAAAGUGGCCGAGUGGUUAUGGCGCACGGUUCAGGUCCGUGUUUCGAAAGAUACCUGGGUUCGAAUCCCAGCUUUGUCA